GGGCGAGUAAUCCCGUAAUUGGUAGCGGGGCCGGACUGUAAAUCCGGUGUCUUAGACUCUGGAGGUUCAAAUCCUCCGUCGCCCA
This 85-nucleotide transfer RNA is filed under the name Candidatus Thiomargarita nelsonii. RNAcentral describes it as "tRNA-Tyr". It matches the Rfam family "tRNA". From Rfam's summary of the family: Transfer RNA (tRNA) molecules are approximately 80 nucleotides in length. Their secondary structure includes four short double-helical elements and three loops (D, anti-codon, and T loops). Lineage: Bacteria; Pseudomonadati; Pseudomonadota; Gammaproteobacteria; Thiotrichales; Thiotrichaceae. The record is from RNAcentral.